AAUAAUUAUGUAAACUAAAUAUCUAUAUAUAUAAAUAUGAAAAUUUAUAUACCCGCACAGUUGUGCGGGUAGAAAUCUAGUAUUCUCUUAAAGUCUAUAUGUAUUCGGGUAGAAAUCUAGUAUUCUCUUAAAGUCUAUCUAAUACAUACUUCAGACGUCUCUAUAUACAGCAUACCACAGCCGCUUAAGAAAAAGACACUGAACAUCGCUGGCUUGAUAAGUGUGGGAUGCGCUAAGUUUUUCUAAGAAAACUACAUUUGAAAACUAUCAUAUUAUAAAGUUUCUUGGAAGGUUAUUUUCUAACUUUGUUCAAUGAUCGAAGGGUAUUAUAGUCUUAAUAGAUGAACCGUUGUAUGGUAUCCGUUGGGAAGGAGGGAAUGCUAUUUCCAUCUGUUGCUUACAGAGACGUGUUCCUGGAUUUAAGGAUCUUGAGUUAAAACUUUUUGAGAAAAUUGCCAAAACGGAACAAAAAUUUAGCACUGUUGUCUCUUUGGUAUAAAAUCAUCAUUAAGUUGUCCCUAUGGUAUAAUAUUUUUCAUAAUCCCAAAAUUAACCCUGGAUUAAUAAAAUUAAACACAAUUUAAAAGUUAAAAUGAAUUUUAAAAAGUCUAAUAAAAAUAAACAAACGUUUUAGAAAGGCAAAAUAAAUUAAAAUAAAAAUAAAAGAAAAAGGCUCAAAAACCCGUAACCUAACUGUUUGUUUCUCCGCCUCUCUCUCUCAAUCUAGACGAACAAGAAGGAGAUUCUGUGUCUUCUCCGGUGAAAUCAACGACGAGUCUACCAACCGAUGAAAUCGAGCUUUCCACCGUGGGUUUGAUCGAAUCUCUCCCCUUCGUCUUACUCCACUUCUCUCGCUCCACGAACAAGAAAGCGAUUUCAGAGCUUCUCUAGAUGAUUUGUGAAAUAGACUCUCUCUUCCGGCGGAAGCCCUUCAUCUUGUUCUCUCCGCCUCUCUCUUUCUCCGACAUCGCUAGCCGUGAGGGAGAUGAUUUUUGAACAGAUGCUUUGUCUUUGGAAGUGAUGUGGGCUGAUCAAGAUGCUAUUAGAGCUGGAGUUGGGAAGUAGCCGUGGAGAAGAAUCAGGCAGCUAGCACUUCCCACGGAUGAUCUGUUGCUCUGUACGAUCGCGGCGUUGGUAUAGGAAACUGAUCAUACAAAAAUACAGUAGUAUGAAGAAUAUUGCGGAAGAGAAUAAUAGCAUGGCUGGUCAGCUUGAUGUCUGGAAGCUUCUUGAUGAUGCGCAUCACUUUGUCGUGAGACUGUUUUUUUUUCCACAAUUGUAUUAUGGAUAAUAUAAGUUCAAUUGUAGCUAUUCCAUUUCUCGCUUC
Long non-coding RNA from Brassica napus (rape), 1327 nucleotides. RefSeq lists it as uncharacterized. The transcript is spliced from 2 exons. The record is from RefSeq and is a predicted model, not a curated record. Lineage: Eukaryota; Viridiplantae; Streptophyta; Magnoliopsida; Brassicales; Brassicaceae.